RNAcentral lists this non-coding RNA (29 nucleotides) under Mus musculus (house mouse). Lineage: Eukaryota; Metazoa; Chordata; Mammalia; Rodentia; Muridae. The record is from RNAcentral.
UUGCCCAGCAACGACAUGUGCCCCACCUC